This 67-nucleotide ribosomal RNA is filed under the name uncultured Clavariaceae. RNAcentral's name for it is "partial 5.8S ribosomal RNA". It matches the Rfam family "5.8S ribosomal RNA", at positions 49 to 115 of the family's 154-position model. From Rfam's summary of the family: 5.8S ribosomal RNA (5.8S rRNA) is a component of the large subunit of the eukaryotic ribosome. It is transcribed by RNA polymerase I as part of the 45S precursor that also contains 18S and 28S rRNA. Functionally, it is thought that 5.8S rRNA may be involved in ribosome translocation. The record is from RNAcentral. Lineage: Eukaryota; Fungi; Basidiomycota; Agaricomycetes; Agaricales; Clavariaceae.
CGAAUUGCGAUAUGUAAUGUGAAUUGCAGAAUUCAGUGAAUCAUCGAAUCUUUGAACGCACAUUGUA